Molecule: unclassified non-coding RNA, 253 nt
Filed under: uncultured Micrococcales bacterium
Lineage: Bacteria; Bacillati; Actinomycetota; Actinomycetes; Micrococcales
Description: contains 16S-23S intergenic spacer region
Rfam family: Bacterial small subunit ribosomal RNA
Source: RNAcentral
UACGUAGGUGGCAAGCGUUGUCCGGAAUUAUUGGGCGUAAAGAGCUCGUAGGCGGUUUGUCGCGUCUGCUGUGAAAACUGCAGGCUCAACCGCCAGCUUGCAGUGGGUACGGACAGACUAGAGUGCGGUAGGGGAGAUUGGAAUUCCUGGUGUAGCGGUGGAAUGCGCAGAUAUCAGGAGGAACACCGAUGGCGAAGGCAGAUCUCUGGGCCGUAACUGACGCUGAGGAGCGAAAGCGUGGGGAGCGAACAGG